Molecule: long non-coding RNA, 1506 nt
Filed under: Amphibalanus amphitrite
Lineage: Eukaryota; Metazoa; Arthropoda; Thecostraca; Balanomorpha; Balanidae
Description: uncharacterized LOC122391677, transcript variant X1
Source: RNAcentral
ACGUGGUAUAUGAACUUACCUGCAGUCACUGCGGCGACACCUACAUCGGAGAAACGAGCAGGCCAGUUAGACUCCGCUACAACGAGCAUCGGAGGAACGGCAUUAACAGAGAAGAGGACACUCCCCUAGGAGAGCAUGCGCUGCAUAAGCACCCUGAGAUGGAUCGACGCGACAUCUCGGUGACGGCCAAAAUCCUGCGUGUAUGCAAAGACGAAGCGGAUAGAAGAAUCGCUGAAUCCAUCUUCAUCCGAGACGCCAGGCCCAAAAUUAACGAUAACACUACAUCAUGGCAGCUUCUUCCAAAAUAAUGUAUAUAAAUGUGUGUGAAUUGGUUCUUGAAAGAUACCUAUAUAUGUACUGCUAGUUUAACUGGGGAAUUAUGUGUAGAUAUAUUUUUAAGGUAGGAACUAGGGUGAUCAAUUUGCACGGGAUCUGUGUAUUUAAAUUUCUUACUGCGACAUUACUGAAGAACUUGAGACGAAUUCGACAUUGUGUGCCUGUUAUGUGUGUAAAUAAUUACAAUCGACCGACGAAGAGCUGUGCUCGAAAUAUCUCGAUUUUUAAUACACAGACGUGCUAAUGGCGCAAUAAGAAACGGAGGCAGCAAAGGUCGGACUUAGACGCCGCAUCAGCAGUGACACCAAUGUCCCUGCCUAUCGAACGAACAUCAGUCACCCAGGCCGUGACCUCACCCAACACGGACGAAGCGCCGGUCACUGCGCGUCCAUCCAGCGCUCCCACCGCCGUCUGGCGCCCCAGUGCGGCGUCAUCGCGAUUAACUGGCCGAUGACGCCGGCCGGUGGCUGACGGGGCACCGGCGGGGAACCACGCACGGCGCGAGGGCGGUACGGUUCAGAGUAUAAAACCCCUCCGCCGACCGGGCACAGGCAGAACAGGGACAGCAGCCGAGCACAACACUCACAGUCCGCCUACCCACACCGACAACAUGAACUUCAAGCUGGUGCUUCUGCUCCUGGUGGUUCUGGUCGGCGUCGCCGCCGGGUUCGGGUUCGGCCGCAGGGGCGGCGGAUACUACGGUGGCUCCCGCGGCGGCUACUACGGCGGAUCCCGCGGGUUCGGCCGCGGAGGAUACUACGGUCGCGGCCGCGGCGGCGGAUACGGCUACGGCAGAAGGCACUACGGCUAGUCUCCCCGACCCGACCUACCGAGCUUUGACCGCGCCGCUGGUAUCCGGCGGUGGCGGCGGUGCCCCCUCGCCCUGGGGCGGCAGGGAGACGGCAGUCGCCGGACCGAGGGUGUCCGGUCCGUCAGACUCUGACCGCGCCCGGCCCACCGGUCGGUGAAGUGCCGUGUCCCUGUGUUCGUCCAGUACCCCCUCAGUGAGAGGUCCCGACCUCCGGCCGCCUGAGGCCGUCCGCCUCGCACCUCGGCUGAGAUGGAUCCCCGUCCUCCGAACACUGAUAUGCUUUGAUGCUUAUUAAUGUUGACGGAGAACUUUGUUCAACGCGACUGUCCUUUGCGAUAGAAAUAUACGUAUAAUGCAAA